This 73-nucleotide transfer RNA is filed under the name Mus musculus (house mouse). It matches the Rfam family "tRNA". Rfam says of the family: Transfer RNA (tRNA) molecules are approximately 80 nucleotides in length. Their secondary structure includes four short double-helical elements and three loops (D, anti-codon, and T loops). The record is from Rfam by way of RNAcentral. Lineage: Eukaryota; Metazoa; Chordata; Mammalia; Rodentia; Muridae.
AGGGAUGUAGCUCACUUGGUAGAGUGUUUGUCUAGCAUGCAUGAAGCCCUAGGUUCAAAUCCCAGCACCUCCC